RNAcentral lists this ribosomal RNA (506 nucleotides) under uncultured bacterium. RNAcentral describes it as "partial 16S ribosomal RNA". It matches the Rfam family "Bacterial small subunit ribosomal RNA", at positions 29 to 523 of the family's 1533-position model. The record is from RNAcentral.
AGUGAACGCUGGCGGUAGGCCUAACACAUGCAAGUCGAACGGCAGCACAGGAAAGCUUGCUCCCGGGGUGGCGAGUGGCGGACGGGUGAGGAAUACAUCGGAAUCUACUCAGUCGUGGGGGAUAACGGUGGGAAACGUACGCUAAUACCGCAUAAGACCUACGGGUGAAAGUAGGGGACAUUCGGGCCUGUCGCGAUUGAAUGAGCCGAUGUCGGAUUAGCUAGUUGGCGGGGUAAAGGGCCAACAAGGCGACGGUCCGUAGCUGGUCUGAGAGGAUGAUCAGCCACACUGGAACUGGGACACGUUCCAGACUCCUGCGGGAGGCAGCAGUGGGGAAUAUUGGACAAUGGGCGCAAGCCUGAUCCAGCCAUACCGCGUGAGUGAAGAAGGCCUUCGGGUUGUAAAGCCCUUUUGUUGGGAAAGAAAUCCAGCUGGCUAAUACCCGGUUGGGAUGACGGUACCCAAAGAAUAAGCACCGGCUAACUUCGUGCCAGCAGCCGCCGUAA